UGAAACUGAGGCUGAAGGCUUUCUCUUUUUUUAAAAAAGAUUUUAUUUAUUUUUUCAUAAGAGACACACAGAGAGAGGCAGAGACACAGGCAGAGGGAGAAGCAGGCUCCAUCCCGGGAGCCUGACAUGGGACUCGAUCCUGGGUCUCCAGGAUCAUGCCCUGGGCUGAAGGCAACACUAAACCGCUGAGCCACCCGGGCUUUCUUGAUGCAAGGCAUUGGUGUGGUUUAUGGAACUGACCCAUGCAGUUCAGACUUACCCUGGUCUUUGACUUCCAGUAAUGUAUCUCAUUGGUUCAAGAGAGAAAGACAAAAGAAAUAUGUUAUCUAUCUAUCCAUCUAUCCAUCCAUCCAUCAUCUAUCUACCUACCUACCUACCCACCUACCUACCUACCUACCUAGAGAGAGAAUAACUUUCACAUGCUAUCUUCCAUACUCUUCACUCCUUCUAUUUUAAAGAUGAUGUUAAAUGAGGCUCAGAGAAGUUAAGUGACUUGCCCCAAACCACACAGUUGCUGUCAGACCAGCAGCAGAUUUAAAUCCUGCUCUUUCAAACAAUAUCAGGCUUUCUGGAUCUUGACUUGGCACAAUUGACCUUGGGGGCCAAAUAAUUCCAUGUGUGGACAGCUGUCCUCUGCCCUGCAGGGUGCUCAGCAGAAGCUCUGGCCCCUCCUCACGAGAUGCCAAGAACAUUCCCCACCCCAGGCUGUGACAAUGAAAAACAAUGAAAAACAGACAUUAUCAAACUUUCCCUGAGGGACAAAGUCACCCUGGCUGAGAACCACUGCUACAAAUGAAUGAUGGAAACCAAGGCUUUGUCUCUAACCAGCCAAAUGGCUGUUGGGUCAAUAGUUCAUCUCCCUGAACUCCAGUUUCCUUAUCUAUAAAAUGGGAUCAAAACCCUAACGCCCCCCUUUGUGACACAGGCAGGACAUUUAGCCUCCGCCUGGUAGCCCAUAAAUGGUGACCAAGGCAGUCUCUCUCACCAACUUGGAUAUAAUCUUACAGAGAGAAGUUUUUUUUUUUUUUUUUUUGGCACAUUAUAGACACUGAAUUGCAAAUGAGGACAGGCAUUUGAGGCUGCUCUGCUUGCCUAAUUAGUACAACUCCAUUGACAGCCCUGGCUCCUUCAAAGGACGCUCCUUGGGACGUGGGCCCUCUGCAGAGCUGGCUGGGAACUUGGAACAGAGUCAGAUGUCCAACAUCAAACGUUCUGAAGCUCAGAAAUGAGGCCGUGUUCUCCAAUAGGGAGCUGUCUCUGUAAACGUUCCCAUGCUUAUUAAAUUCCUGCGGUGGCCACUGUAAUUGGGCCCGCCUCCCUCACUUGGCUAACCCUGGCUGCACAGCCCAGCACUGGGUUUGUCUCCAAAGCAGAAAUCCCAACCAGGAGUGCCCGCAUCCGUCUUUCUCAGGUCCCGGAGGAGGACGUCUCCUGUGUGCUCGCCUGCCUUUCCCAUUCCCUAAGCCAGCUUCAUCGACAGCCACAGCUCCCUGCCCGAAGGUGCUAGAAUGAAGCCGCCCUCCCUGACUGCACAUCUUCUGUCCCUCCCUGUCCACCUCCGUGUCCCCUGUGCCCAGCACCUGACCUGACACAGAGUAGCAGAUCAGCAAGUGCUGAAUGAACCAGUGACUGAAUGGUGCUGAGUCUCACCCCCUGACCUCACAAUACCCAUCAGAUGCUGGAUCUAGGACCCCAGAUACAAAGCCUGGGGACCCAGGUGGCCUCUGCUUCUCCUGAGCUCCCCACCUCAUCAGAGGUCACAAUUUGAUGGUCUGCAUGCGACUGCAAUUUAUCUAGCCAGACUGAUGUUUUGAGGAACAGGUCAUUGGACUAUUUGGGGGUAGGGCUCACAUUCCCCAGUUUGUUCUAGUCUCGGUCACUGCAGAGCCACACCUCCAAUCAUUUUUGCUUCCUGCCAGCAAGGAAGGAAGCAAAAAUGAUGCCUUAGGCUCCAGGCAUCUGAGUUGGGAUCUGUGACAGGACAAGAUCUCCUCACAGCUGAUGAUCAACAAGGACUGAAGAGAGACAAGUGAACCUGAUCAUAAGGGUCCCAUAGCAGCUUUCCCUUCACUCUUGACCUUGACUCUGAUUCUUCCAAAUAGCACGGUCUGAGAGCAGAUCUCCCAGAACUAUGGAAACUGGCUUCUAGGGAACCCAGAAACUGAGCAUCAAAUCCAAUUUGGACACCUAGACUCUAGCACUUCAUUGAUCAAACGUAGAGUGAACACACGCUGGAUGGGGUGUCAGGGUCUAUGAAGAGAUGGCCAGGCAGCGGGAACGCUGCUGGGAUGGGCUCUGUGUCUCCUGGAGUCAUGUUUUUCCCCCCUACCCCUUCCCCUACCACCUCUUUCCUGUCUUCCUGCCUUUCCUCUUUCUCUCCUCAAUUCUGCCUCCCUUUCUCUCUCUCUCUCUCUCUCUCUCUCUCUAUCUCUAUCUCUAUCUCUCUCUCUCUCUCUCCCUCUCUUCCAAAAAUACUUAGGAGCAUUUUCUGCUUGGUACUAAAGUCCUGUUUGUGGUGCUGGAAGACUCACAGCAAUGAAGAAGGUGUUUCAUACAAUUUAAAGAUUCUUUUGAUGGCCGGGCACAGCACACUGGCACUUGGCGAGAUGAAAGGCAGAGGUCUUUCUUACUCACAGCUCCAUGGGAGACAAGUCUGCCAGGCAGGACGACGUGGAGAUGCAUGGGGACAGGGGAACAGCAAGCCAGAGCGACAGGGGAAGCAGCUUGAGUCUGGCAGAAACACUCACUGAAGGCUAAACCAGCAAAGAGUGAAGGCAAAGAGUGACAUUCAGAGUGAGCAGGCUGCAACGACGGGUCCGUCUGUCCCAAGUCCUGGCCGAGCUGGCCAGAGUGGGUCCUGCCAGCUGAAGACCCAGCAGUGGAGCAGACUGGUCCUCAGGGCCACGUGGAACCAGUCCUUGGAAAUCCAUGACCGCUGGCAGGGGAGGAUGGACUAGAGCCCCCAUCUAACUCCACCUGGGGAAGGUGGGGACCCCCUGAAGACCUGGGAGAGGGGUUUGGGAGGACGAGAUGCUCACACACGGACAACACGGAUGCUUUAUGCAGAGGCAGCUUGAACGGUUUCUUUUAUGGAGUCAUCCGUGGGCUACUGAAAGCCCCCUCAAGCCACAUUGCUUGAAAAUCCACAUGAGCAUCUCUACUUAAUUACUUUUGUUGGCAGGUGCAUUUUCUCAGAAUUAAGGCAUUAUGUCCCCCAAGAGGGAUUACAUAAUAACUCCUGGAGGAUGAACUACACGGAUUAAAGGGGAUUGUUAAGAUCCAAGUGUAGUCCCAAGUUGCCAUUGUUCUGUGGAGGAAAAUAUGAUCACCCAGGACAUAGACCAUUAGAGAAAAGUUAGCUGACAUCUAAGCAGAACCCAAGUGCAUAUCCCUCCCACUGACUCUUGGCAACACCCAGCGGAUCUUCGUGGAUAUUCAUACAUGUUGUCUAAGGUGUGGAUGAUACGUUGACCCGGCAUGCUUUUUGUCCAAAUUUCCCGGGACAGUCUUAAGAAGUUCUUUCAUUAAUUCACUGAUGGGUUAUUUUAGUCAAUAAACACCUACGAAGAACUGUAUUGUGCGUGAUAGACCCUCAAGACACCACAAUAAUCAGAGCCCCAACAACAGAGACUUCCUAGCGUGGAAGGGCAGACAGACAUGACACAAAGAGGCACGUGGUUGAGUGCACACAGCAUAAGGGUUAGCUUCAGGUAAGAGUGGAUCAAUGUGGGCUUGGUCCUUCUGUAUCUCCAUGUCUUACUGUGCUUUCCUGUGACCAGCUCUACUCUUAGCCACUUUAUGAUCAUGCAGUGUCCCCCGGUAGCUUCUGGCUGACACGGAUCUACCUGGUUUAGCCAUUCCCAUGGAGUGUCUCUCCUCAUUCCUGUAAAAGGCUGACUGUCCUUGGAUGGACUCCAUUGAGGGGUGGAGUGGAGGGUGAUACUGGCUGCUUGGGCUCGUUCUGCAUUACACGGCCUCCCCAAGAGCUCAGAAAGAAGGGGUAUGGUCAGUCCCACUUAUACUGCUGGAUACAAUGUGUUUAGAACUGGGUGGCUGGCUGAUUCUGUCCAUUAAGUGUCUGCCUUUGGCUCAGGUGAUGACCUCAGGGUCCUGGGAUGGAGCCCCAAGUCGGGUUCCUUGCUCAGACCUCUGCCUCUCCCUCUUGCUCUGCCUCUCUCCUUCUGCAAGGGCUCAGUCUCACUAUCAAAUAAAUAAAUAAAAUCUUUAAAAAAUAAAUAAAAAAUAAAAUAAAAGCUGGUUCCCUAAAAAAGUGGGGCACAACUCCCAGCUUGCCAUGCAAAGAUAUCUACAUUAACAGGUACAGGGAAGACCUUCUGGGGAAUGGCCAUGGGGUCCUUUGUGAGUGCACCUGGCUCCUGCCUGCCAUUUUUUAAUCUUGUCAUCCUCAUUGGCCAACUCUACAAGUGGCUCUUCCUCAUCUCUGUCUGACACCUGUCACCCCUCCUCUCAGCCUGACCCACUUGUUGGGAUUCAAGCUUGUGACACCGAUCGAGUCUUGCUCCUAUUAACACCUGUGCAACCAUUCUAAUGCAAUGCUGAGUGGAUCCAGGGUGACACCAGGACAGUUCCCAGUGGUGUGAGCAAUGGUUUGACAUUACUGGGAGUCAUCCCAUCACACAACGUUGCUUGGGGUAAAAACAGCAGGAAUGUAAAGAAAAAAAAAACAUGGUGCCAUGUUAUGUGCCAACUUCUAUAUCCCCAAACAGCAUCCUUUGGAGCAACUCUAAAUACUGUAACUGGGCAGCCCAGGUGGCUCAGCGGUUUAGCGCCACUUUCAGCCCAGGGCGUGAUCCUGAAGUCCCAGGAUCGAGUACCGCGUCAGGCUCCUGCAUGGAGUCUGCUUCUCCCUCUGCCUGUGUC
Canis lupus familiaris (dog) is the source of this 4881-nucleotide long non-coding RNA. RefSeq lists it as uncharacterized. The transcript is spliced from 5 exons. NCBI's taxonomy places the organism in Eukaryota, Metazoa, Chordata, Mammalia, Carnivora, Canidae. The record is from RefSeq and is a predicted model, not a curated record.